GAUGAACGCUGGCUACAGGCUUAACACAUGCAAGUCGAGGGGAAACGGCAUUGGGUGCUUGCACUGAAUGGACGUCGACCGGCGCACGGGUGAGUAACGCGUAUCCAACCUUCCCGUUACUGCGGGAUAACCUGCCGAAAGGCAGACUAAUACCGCAUGUUCUUCGAUGACGGCAUCAGAUUCGAAGCAAAGAUCCGUCGGUAACGGAGGGGGAUGCGUCUGAUUAGCUAGUUGGCGGGGCGACGGCCCACCAAGGCGACGAUCAGUAGGGGUUCUGAGAGGAAGGUCCCCCACAUUGGAACUGAGACACGGUCCAAACUCCUACGGGAGGCAGCAGUGAGGAAUAUUGGUCAAUGGGCGGAAGCCUGAACCAGCCAAGUAGCGUGCAGGAUGACGGCCCUACGGGUUGUAAACUGCUUUUAUGCGGGGAUAAAGUGAGGGACGCGUCCCUUUUUGCAGGUACCGCAUGAAUAAGGACCGGCUAAUUCCGUGCCAGCAGCCGCGGUAAUACGGAAGGUCCGGGCGUUAUCCGGAUUUAUUGGGUUUAAAGGGAGCGUAGGCCGGGGAUUAAGUGUGUUGUGAAAUGUAGGCGCCCAACGUCUGACUUGCAGCGCAUACUGGUUCCCUUGAGUACGCGCAACGCCGGCGGAAUUCGUCGUGUAGCGGUGAAAUGCUUAGAUAUGACGAAGAACCCCGAUUGCGAAGGCAGCCGGCGGGAGCGCAACUGACGCUGAAGCUCGAAGGUGCGGGUAUCGAACAGG
This 761-nucleotide ribosomal RNA is filed under the name uncultured Prevotella sp. RNAcentral describes it as "bacterial SSU rRNA". It matches the Rfam family "Bacterial small subunit ribosomal RNA", at positions 28 to 776 of the family's 1533-position model. Lineage: Bacteria; Pseudomonadati; Bacteroidota; Bacteroidia; Bacteroidales; Prevotellaceae. The record is from RNAcentral.